AAUUAAAUUAAAUUUCAGUUACACAAUGAAUAUUUUUUAGUAUAAAUAUGUCCCAUGCAAUAUUUGGGACAUACUUACACUAAAAACUACAUGCUUAU
This 98-nucleotide microRNA precursor is filed under the name Chlorocebus sabaeus (green monkey). RNAcentral describes it as "miRNA (ENSCSAG00000021335.1)". The stretch from base 34 to 85 matches the Rfam family "mir-1302 microRNA precursor family". Lineage: Eukaryota; Metazoa; Chordata; Mammalia; Primates; Cercopithecidae. The record is from RNAcentral.